UUCUUUUGUAAAUUGCCCAGUCUUGGGUAUGUCUUUAUCAGCAGCAUGAAAAUGGACUAAUCCAGAAGGCAUGGAUAUGCAAACUUUCACUUUUGUUCUUUACUUGAGUGUCAGGAAAAUAUGAUGUUGUGGAUGGAUAGAAGACAAGAGAGAUGAAGAUUUGUGUCACCAUAGUAAAAAUUCUAGAAGGCUAUGGUGUCUCAUAUUGGUCUCAGAAUUCUAAAUCAAAUAAAGCACUAAAACAAAUGUAUUAAACACUCAGAAACCUAAAUUUUAGCUGCUUCCUAAGAUUGUGAACAGUGUUUUCUCAUGAUCUUCCUGAAAGCAAUUGACAAUGCGUUACAUUCAACUUGAAGAAAUAAGUAUUUUCUUCCCUUAAAAAAUUUACCAAUUUAAUUAUCAUCCAAGGUCUCGAACUCAUGAACUCAAGCCAUCUGCUCGCCUCAGCCUCCCAAAGUGCUGGGAUUACAGGUGUGAGCCACUGUGCCUGGCCUAUAGCAUGACUUUUAUACCUCUCAGAGUCCUCUCAUAGAGUUUAUCAAGCAUAGUAGGACUACAGCAGCUACCUAGGUUUGACGGGCUGAGGUUUGAGUUAGCCAUAGUCAACUGUCAUCUGAAAAUAGUGACACAUUAAAGAACAACAUGUAAUGUGCAUCCAUUCUGGAGUUGAUCAAUGUGAGGAUAAGGGCAGAUGCUGCCACAGAGACUGUCAUUCCCACAGACAUUUAAAUAUAUUAGCACUUGGGGGCCAGGUGUGGUGGCUCACGCCUGUAAU
RNAcentral lists this long non-coding RNA (775 nucleotides) under Homo sapiens (human). Its description in RNAcentral is "HSALNT0306117". Lineage: Eukaryota; Metazoa; Chordata; Mammalia; Primates; Hominidae. The record is from RNAcentral.